This 38-nucleotide ribosomal RNA is filed under the name Phytophthora cactorum. Its description in RNAcentral is "partial 28S ribosomal RNA". The record is from RNAcentral. Lineage: Eukaryota; Oomycota; Peronosporomycetes; Peronosporales; Peronosporaceae.
UUGGACCUGAUAUCAGGCAAGAUUACCCGCUGAACUAA